UACGCCGUAAACGAUGCGCACUAGGCUCGAGGGUUCUGACGACCUUCGUGCCGCAAGAAAACCGUGAAGUGCGCCGCCUGGGGAGUACGGCCGCAAGGCUAAAACUCAAAGGAAUUGACGGGGGCUCACACAAGCGGUGGAGCAUGUGGAUCAAUUCGAAGCAACGCGAAGAACCUUACCUGGGUUUGACAUGCACGGAUGGUCUCGGUGAAAGCUGAGUAAUCUGCCUUCGGGUGAAACGUGCACAGGUGCUGCAUGGCUGUCGUCAGCUCGUGCUGUGAAGUGUCGGGUUAAGUCCCUUAACGAGCGAAACCCUUGUCGCUAGUUACCAGCGGGUCAUGCCGGGGACUCUAGCGAGACUGCCGGCGUUAAGCCG
Molecule: ribosomal RNA, 376 nt
Filed under: uncultured bacterium
Lineage: Bacteria
Description: bacterial SSU rRNA
Rfam family: Bacterial small subunit ribosomal RNA
Source: RNAcentral